AAUACGACAUGCCCAGUUACAUAUGAAUUUCAGAUAAACAAGGAAUAAUUCUUUUUAGUGUUAAGUAUGUCUCAUGCAAUAUUUGGGAUAUACUUAUACUAAAAAAUUAUUUGUUGUUUAUCUGAAAUUCAAAUUUAAUGGGGCAAUCUGUAUUUU
This 156-nucleotide microRNA precursor is filed under the name Choloepus hoffmanni (Hoffmann's two-fingered sloth). RNAcentral describes it as "miRNA (ENSCHOG00000014545.1)". The stretch from base 52 to 104 matches the Rfam family "mir-1302 microRNA precursor family". Lineage: Eukaryota; Metazoa; Chordata; Mammalia; Pilosa; Megalonychidae. The record is from RNAcentral.